CGAACGCUGGCGGCGUGCCUAACACAUGCAAGUCAAGGAGAAUUCCCGACUUGUCGGGAUAGUAAACUGGCGAACGGGUGAGUAACACGUAGGUAAUCUACCCUCGGGAUCGGGAUAACCUCGCGAAAGUGGGGAUAAUACCGAAUAAAGUCUCGGUAUAAUUUGUCGAGAUGAAAGAUGGGGAUCUUCGGACCUAUUACCUGAGGAUGAGCCUGCGCCUGAUUAGCUAGUUGGUAGGGUAAAUGCCUACCAAGGCAACGAUCAGUAGCUGGUCUGAGAGGAUGAUCAGCCACAUUGGGACUGAGAUACGGCCCAGACUCCUACGGGAGGCAGCAGUGAGGAAUUUUGCGCAAUGGGCGAAAGCCUGACGCAGCAACGCCGCGUGACUGAUUAAGCUCUGAGGAGUGUAAAAGUCUGUCGUAGAGGAAGAAACUAUCCGAUAAGAAUAUUGUCGGAUACUGACGGUACUCUAUGAGAAAGCUCCGGCUAACUCCGUG
Molecule: ribosomal RNA, 497 nt
Filed under: uncultured bacterium
Lineage: Bacteria
Description: bacterial SSU rRNA
Rfam family: Bacterial small subunit ribosomal RNA
Source: RNAcentral